GUUUUGUUUUGGAGAGGGUAAGGGGUGCACAGAAAUGGUGUGACAAAGGGUAAACUAAUGCAGCAGUGAUACUCAGUAGACACUAUGUUAAAAUGAACUAUACAGCUUGGAAGAGGGAAACCAUGGGA
Molecule: long non-coding RNA, 128 nt
Organism: Dipodomys spectabilis (banner-tailed kangaroo rat)
Lineage: Eukaryota; Metazoa; Chordata; Mammalia; Rodentia; Heteromyidae
Exons: 3
Source: RefSeq, a predicted model, not a curated record